ACCACGCAGGUGCUUUGAGUGCCCGCAGCUCCUGAGGCUCUGACAAAAUGGAAACACUGAAGUGAAAGCCCACGGCCAGGGGGAUCAUUCCCCAGAUGUGAUAAGUGGGGGAGGAGGAACCCAAGAGCAGCUGUGAACAAUGAACAAGGACCAAACGUUAUCAGCAGAAAGAGAAGCUGGCAGUGCCAAGAGCACGAUGGCAGCUCGCGCUGUGCCGAGCAGAGUGCCCGUGGUGCCAGCUCUGUGUUCCUUCCUAGCCUGCAAAUGAAACAGCCUGGCAGUCUGUCUUUCCUGCAUGGAGAUUGGAUUUCAGCUGAUGUGCCUGCAGUGCCCGCUCUGCUGAGCUGCAAGUGAAAGAUCUGCUGAGUAAGAAAUUAUUAAAGGCCAGCAAGAGCUUCGUUGGCUUUUGGUGCUGUCGGUGCAAACUUUCUCGAUAAUGGAGCAGCUUUUCCAGGAACACAAUCAGGAGAGCCCAGGCUGUGUUAGCACCUCGCUGCUCCAGUCAGCUGUUCCAGGAAGGGAGCUCUGCACAGAGCCUUUGCUGUUCCUUUAUUCCAGAGGCUCGGGAUGUCAGAGCUGAGGCAGUGCUCCAUGCGAUGCAUCGCCUCCCCCACACACUCUCGCAGGCUUAAAAGCAUCACAGGCUCUAAACUGGGACUAUUUUAGAAGGGACUGGUCUGUCUGCAGCAGCCUGGAGCCCAGGGGGAUCUUUGGAGGGAGAGCUGAGGGUCUCACAGGUCACAGUCCUGUGAACCUGCAGUGCUGAUUUUUCCAUUGAAGAGGAAAGCUGCAGGUCAGAGCUUCACCCCAUCAAUAUCACCGGGAUAUGGCAAGAGUCAGACCAGAGCACCUGGAUACUUCAAGCAGGAGCUUUGUAUAAAACUGAGACACAGAUUCCUGAAAGCUGCCUGUUAAAAGCUGGCACCCCAAGGAUGGCAGAAGCCAGGUGACUCUGUGUUUGUACCAUUGCUGCAGAUGACAUCUUUCUCUUAAACCUUUUAAAUCAAUACACUACUCUAAAAAAGGCCAACCUGUAAUAAAUGCAGGAAAAUAUCAGCA
RNAcentral lists this long non-coding RNA (1059 nucleotides) under Cyanistes caeruleus (blue tit). Its description in RNAcentral is "lncRNA (ENSCCEG00000007072.1)". The record is from RNAcentral. Lineage: Eukaryota; Metazoa; Chordata; Aves; Passeriformes; Paridae.